This 86-nucleotide transfer RNA is filed under the name Picochlorum sp. 'soloecismus'. Its description in RNAcentral is "tRNA-Leu". It matches the Rfam family "tRNA". From Rfam's summary of the family: Transfer RNA (tRNA) molecules are approximately 80 nucleotides in length. Their secondary structure includes four short double-helical elements and three loops (D, anti-codon, and T loops). The record is from RNAcentral. Lineage: Eukaryota; Viridiplantae; Chlorophyta; Trebouxiophyceae.
UGCGGGUGUGGUGGAAUUGGUAGACACACCAGGUUUAGGUUCUGGAGGCAUCUUUGCCCUGCGGGUUCAAGUCCUGCCACCCGUAU